CUCAGAUCUGGCUCUACGUUGUCCUCAUUGUACAUGCUGUGUGUAUUUGCCACGUACACAGCGCAUGCAAUGUGGACAUAAUGGAGCUCA
Molecule: microRNA precursor, 90 nt
Filed under: Gallus gallus (chicken)
Lineage: Eukaryota; Metazoa; Chordata; Aves; Galliformes; Phasianidae
Also listed under: 2 other names
Description: microRNA gga-mir-460b precursor
Gene: gga-mir-460b
Rfam family: mir-460 microRNA precursor family (bases 12-86)
Source: miRBase by way of RNAcentral